UACGGAGGGUGCAAGCGUUAUCCGGAUUCACUGGGUUUAAAGGGUGCGUAGGCGGGCAGAUAAGUCAGUGGUGAAAUACCUGAGCUUAACUUGGGAACUGCCAUUGAUACUAUUUGUCUUGAAUGUUGUGGAGGUUAGCGGAAUAUGUCAUGUAGCGGUGAAAUGCUUAGAGAUGACAUAGAACACCUAUUGCGAAGGCAGCUAACUACGCAAAUAUUGACGCUGAGGCACGAAAGCGUGGGGAUCAAACAGG
RNAcentral lists this ribosomal RNA (253 nucleotides) under Panacibacter sp. RNAcentral's name for it is "partial 16S ribosomal RNA". It matches the Rfam family "Bacterial small subunit ribosomal RNA", at positions 524 to 776 of the family's 1533-position model. RNAcentral also lists the same sequence under 1 other name. Lineage: Bacteria; Pseudomonadati; Bacteroidota; Chitinophagia; Chitinophagales; Chitinophagaceae. The record is from RNAcentral.